Molecule: ribosomal RNA, 426 nt
Filed under: uncultured bacterium
Lineage: Bacteria
Description: bacterial SSU rRNA
Rfam family: Bacterial small subunit ribosomal RNA
Source: RNAcentral
GUGAGGAAUAUUGCACAAUGGGCGCAAGCCUGAUGCAGCAACGCCGCGUGAGGGACGAAGGCCUUCGGGUCGUAAACCUCUUUUCUGAGGGACGAGAAAGGACGGUACCUCAGGAAUAAGUCUCGGCUAACUACGUGCCAGCAGCCGCGGUAACACGUAGGAGGCAAACGUUAUCCGGAAUUACUGGGCGUAAAGCGCACGCAGGCGGCAUCGUAAGUCCGACGUGAAAGCUCCUGGCUUAACUGGGAGAGGCCGUUGGAUACUGCGAAGCUCGAGGUUGGGAGAGGAGAGUGGAAUUCCCGGUGUAGUGGUGGAAUGCGUAGAUAUCGGGAGGAACUCCAGUGGCGAAAGCGACUCUCUGGCCUACACCUGACGCUAAAGUGCGAAAGCGUGGGUAGCGAACAGGAUUAGAUACCCGUGUAGUCC